RNAcentral lists this long non-coding RNA (414 nucleotides) under Manihot esculenta (cassava). Its description in RNAcentral is "long non-coding RNA (MESC_LNC011300)". The record is from RNAcentral. Lineage: Eukaryota; Viridiplantae; Streptophyta; Magnoliopsida; Malpighiales; Euphorbiaceae.
AUGGCCCAAGGACGUUCCUUGGCAAUUUGUUAAUUAGUAAUUAAUUAGUGGACGUUCCCUAAUUAAUUUAAUCAUAAGGAGAGACAUGGUGGUGAGAAGCGUCUUCCACCCCCAUAACUAAUCUAUUGAACUAAUCAAGAUAAUCUAAGUUUCAAUGAUCAACCCAAACAACCAAAGUGGAUCCAUAUCUUCAACUAGGCUUCUCUCAUAUUGAUUUCCUCUUUUAUUUUAAUUAUUUGCUUUCUAUUAUUACUCUCAUUAUUAGUUACUACAAUCAAUCUCAAACCCCCCCAUUUUACUUUUAUUGCAAUUUAUUUUUAUUCUGCUUCCAGUUUAUCUCAUUUGAUCCCACUUUCAGUCUUUUAUCUCAUCUUUAAUUUAUUAUUGUUUCAGUUCAUUUUAUUGGUCUUGUUG